UUGAACGCUGGCGGCAGGCCUAACACAUGCAAGUCGAACGGCAGCGGGGAGUGGCUUGCUACUCUGCCGGCGAGUGGCGGACGGGUGAGUAAUGCCUGGGGAGCUGCCCAAUCGAGGGGGAUACCAGUUGGAAACGACUGCUAAUACCGCAUACGCCCUGAGGGGGAAAGGUGGGGAUCUUCGGACCUACCGCGAUUGGAUGCACCCAGGUGGGAUUAGCUAGUUGGUGAGGUAACGGCUCACCAAGGCGACGAUCUCUAGCUGGUCUGAGAGGAUGACCAGCCACACUGGAACUGAGACACGGUCCAGACUCCUACGGGAGGCAGCAGUGGGGAAUAUUGCACAAUGGGGGAAACCCUGAUGCAGCCAUGCCGCGUGUGUGAAGAAGGCCUUCGGGUUGUAAAGCACUUUCAGCGAGGAGGAAAGGGGUGAUGCUAAUACCAUCAUCCUGUGACGUUACUCGCAGAAGAAGCGCCGGCUAACUCCGUG
This 489-nucleotide ribosomal RNA is filed under the name uncultured bacterium. RNAcentral describes it as "bacterial SSU rRNA". It matches the Rfam family "Bacterial small subunit ribosomal RNA", at positions 29 to 507 of the family's 1533-position model. The record is from RNAcentral.